UAGCUAUACCAGGAUUACUGUCUCAGCAACAACUUGGCCUCAACAAUUCUGAGAUGGCUGAGAUGGCUUGGCAUUAAGGGAAGAGGAAUUGGAGCUGUACGAGGACAUGCCGUGGCGGUGCUAUCUCGGCACCGGCGACAAUUAUCUCAGGUGAUUCCUCAGGUUCCCCUUCGAUCGAGCUGUGGCUUCCUAUUUCGGCAAAUGAGUCCAUGCCCUGUUUCUGGCAACAUGGCUUAGUCGUCCAUUUGUUUAGGAACAAGAGGUUUUUUUCUGGUACUGGAAUGUUCUGUUGGUGAUUUAGGUUAGACACCUGGUCUCCAUGAGUUACAUGUUUUCUUCUUUGCAUUUUCUAUAAUUUUCCUUCGCUUUUCAAAUCAUACAUCCUACAUGAUGUUUAGUUCAGGAUUAUGCUUCUGUUCAUUGCAUUCGUGGCUCAUUAUUGGCUAUUGGAGAACUGUUGAGGAAACUUAAAGUUCAUUUUGCAGUGAUAUUCCGUACAAGUUUUUUCACAAUAUGCAUAUACUGAUGCAAUCACGUUUUUUGUUCUCUUGGUGACAUUGGAGUACUACCCACUACUUGGAGCUUGCCUACCUCUUCGACAACUACCGCAGGAUAACAUCAACUCAGGUACUCCGUGGGUGACAUCUUCUUUGGGGCCGUGCAGCUCAAGAUUGAGACCUUCGCCUCUAGUGUUGCUGUCCUCGAGCAAGAGUCACGGGGAGGUACUCUAGUGGCUUGGGAUAUACUACGAGGUCUUUGUCAAGACCUCAUCAUGUCGUGGCACUUCAUACAACAAUCGGGUUCAAGCCAAGUGAAGCUCAGCCGAAGUCCCUCGCCGACUGGCUACGGAGGCCUCUGACUACAUUGGUCCCAGGCUUAUUAGGGUAGGUUGACAUGGCUCGGCCUCCCGAGUAGCUCCACCCGAUUCACUGAAGUCCCUCCCGGGCCGACUACGUGUGCCUCUAGCUGCUUUGGUCCUCGGUGGUGCUUAUGCUGCUGUUGUGCAAGGGUCUAUGUAAUGUUGUUUCGGUUGCAAUAUUCAAUAGUCUACAUCAUUUAUAGUUGUCAACGCUAGAAUUGCGCUAGCUUUUGCACUGGCCUUGCUUUAAGCUUUCCAGCAAGGGAGAAUAGAGCUUGCCAGGAGGGAGCCAUGGCCUCCCUCACCUCACACCUGGACUGGUAUGUCGCCACCGACCCGCGACUCCACCUGGACUGCUAUUCUCUUGCAUUGCUCUGGGAAACCCUUCAAUUCUAAGGCUGAUUGUAUUCUAUUAACAUUUUACAAGUUGUGAGAAGUUAGGGAGUAGUAGCAGUGUUGUCCAAAAAUUUGACACAAGGUUGAGGUCUGCAAAGAACCAAGGCGCCACUGACGUUGAGGUCUCCGAUCCCCCAAGAACCAAGACGAGCCAGGAGACAAGUGUUGAUGCUGUGAUGACUAAGGAGGUUGCUGCCUGGUAAGAUGCUGAUGGACCAAGUUGGCUGGAGAGGAGCAGCAGUUUGUGGACGGUGGCGACUCUUGUUCCGACAAUGGUGACGGAUAGAUGCUAGAGGAGCUUACUAUUGUUGAUCGUUUGAAUUGCUGCCAGUUGUUGAUCUACAUGUGUCUUUGGAGUGGACUGAAGUGACAGUUCCGGUUCUUGUUUUGUUGUGAUCAAUUGGACGUUGUUACAGUUCCUGUAAUAUUUCAGCUACGUCUGUAUUUUGAACUUUGGCCAAGAGGGCUAUUGUGCUAGCUUGGAGGUUUCAGGUUGGAAAGGAUUUUUGUAAUAGCUUCUCAGGAUUUAUUGUUUGAUCUUGUGCCAUCAGUUUACG
Lolium rigidum is the source of this 1812-nucleotide RNA transcript. RefSeq lists it as uncharacterized. Lineage: Eukaryota; Viridiplantae; Streptophyta; Magnoliopsida; Poales; Poaceae. The transcript has 9 exons. The record is from RefSeq and is a predicted model, not a curated record.